CAGCCGCCACGGGAAUACAGAGGGUGCGAGCGUUAAUCGGAUUUACUGGGCGUAAAGCGUGUGUAGGUUGUUGUUCAAGUCAGUUGUGAAAUCCCUGGGCUCAACCUGGGAACUGCUUCUGAGACUGAACGACUAGAGUACGGUAGAGGGUGGUGGAAUUUCCGGUGUAGCGGUGAAAUGCGUAGAUAUCGGAAGGAACAUCAAUGGCGAAGGCAGCCACCUGGGCCUGUACUGACACUGAGACACGAAAGCGUGGGGAUCAAACAGGAUUAGAUACCCCUGUAGUCCCUGUCUCUUAUAC
Molecule: ribosomal RNA, 301 nt
Filed under: uncultured bacterium
Lineage: Bacteria
Description: partial 16S ribosomal RNA
Rfam family: Bacterial small subunit ribosomal RNA
Source: RNAcentral